AGGACGAACGCUGGCGGCGUGCUUAACACAUGCAAGUCGAGCGAGGCCCUUCCUUCGGGAAGGUGUCCUAGCGGCGAACGGGUGAGUAACACGUGGGCAACCUGCCCUCAGCUCUGGGAUAACUCCGGGAAACCGGGGCUAAUACCGGAUACGACCUCUAAGGGCAUCCGAAGAGGUGGAAAGUUUUUCGGCUGAGGAUGGGCCCGCGGCCUAUCAGCUUGUUGGUGGGGUGACGGCCUACCAAGGCGACGACGGGUAGCCGGCCUGAGAGGGUGACCGGCCACACUGGGACUGAGACACGGCCCAGACUCCUACGGGAGGCAGCAGUGGGGAAUAUUGCGCAAUGGGCGAAAGCCUGACGCAGCGACGCCGCGUGAGGGACGAAGGCCCUUCGGGUUGGUAAACCUCUUUCAGCAGGGACGAAGCGAAAGUGACGGUACCUGCAGAGAAGCACGGCCAACUACGUGCCAGCAGCCGC
Molecule: ribosomal RNA, 478 nt
Filed under: uncultured bacterium
Lineage: Bacteria
Description: SSU rRNA
Rfam family: Bacterial small subunit ribosomal RNA
Source: RNAcentral